This is a ribosomal RNA of Saimiri boliviensis boliviensis (Bolivian squirrel monkey), 119 nucleotides long. The record is from Ensembl. Lineage: Eukaryota; Metazoa; Chordata; Mammalia; Primates; Cebidae.
GUCUACAGCCGUAUCACCCUGAACACGCCUGAUUGCGUCUAAUCUCAGAAGCUAAGCAGGGUCGGGCCUGGUUAGUACUUGGGUGGGAGACCACCUGGGAAUACCAGGUGCUGUAGGCU